This 503-nucleotide transfer RNA is filed under the name uncultured bacterium. RNAcentral describes it as "partial 16S-23S ribosomal RNA intergenic spacer". The stretch from base 75 to 148 matches the Rfam family "tRNA". The record is from RNAcentral.
AAGGUGGAAUCAACUUAUCUGAUAUCGCCGUCCUCGAAUCUCUUUCAUUCACAAACAUGAUAAGCCAAAGUUACAGGCGCGUAGCUCAGAUGGUUAGAGCGCACGACUGAUAAUCGUGAGGUCGGCAGUUCGACUCUGCCCGUGCCUACCAUCUUUAUGUAACAGGUGCUGCUGCGCUGUGCGCUAUCCGGCCUUUAGAUGGCCGUUUGUUUGUGAAUUAAGUAACAGGUUUUUUGAAAGCAGGCAGCUUUAUGCAGAUUUAUCUGUGCUGUUUGUGCGCUGUUUGACAAGGUAAGUGAAGACAUCCAAGACCGCGGGAUUAAUCGAGGGAUAAUUUUAGGGAAAUAAGCUAGUCUGGUUUAUUUCUUUUAUCUUUUGUUGAUCUCGCAAUAAUUCAAGCUUGUGAUUUGUCGCGUAAGGGUUGGAUAUCGAAUUUAUUCGGUGCUUGCCUUUACGUACGUAUCAAUCAAGCGUCUUUAAGGGCAUUUGGUGGAUGCCUUGGC